AGCUUGCUCUUAUGAGUUAGCGGCGGACGGGUGAGUAACACGUGGGUAACCUGCCCAUAAGACUGGGAUAACUCCGGGAAACCGGGGCUAAUACCGGAUAACAUUUUGAACCGCAUGGUUCGAAAUUGAAAGGCGGCUUCGGCUGUCACUUAUGGAUGGACCCGCGUCGCAUUAGCUAGUUGGUGAGGUAACGGCUCACCAAGGCAACGAUGCGUAGCCGACCUGAGAGGGUGAUCGGCCACACUGGGACUGAGACACGGCCCAGACUCCUACGGGAGGCAGCAGUAGGGAAUCUUCCGCAAUGGACGAAAGUCUGACGGAGCAACGCCGCGUGAGUGAUGAAGGCUUUCGGGUCGUAAAACUCUGUUGUUAGGGAAGAACAAGUGCUAGUUGAAUAAGCUGGCACCUUGACGGUACCUAACCAGAAAGCCACGGCUAACUACGUGCCAGCAGCCGCGGUAAUACGUAGGUGGCAAGCGUUAUCCGGAAUUAUUGGGCGUAAAGCGCGCGCAGGUGGUUUCUUAAGUCUGAUGUGAAAGCCCACGGCUCA
This 550-nucleotide ribosomal RNA is filed under the name Bacillus thuringiensis. RNAcentral's name for it is "bacterial SSU rRNA". It matches the Rfam family "Bacterial small subunit ribosomal RNA", at positions 65 to 611 of the family's 1533-position model. Lineage: Bacteria; Bacillati; Bacillota; Bacilli; Caryophanales; Bacillaceae. The record is from RNAcentral.